RNAcentral lists this ribosomal RNA (472 nucleotides) under uncultured Acidovorax sp. RNAcentral describes it as "bacterial SSU rRNA". It matches the Rfam family "Bacterial small subunit ribosomal RNA", at positions 917 to 1381 of the family's 1533-position model. The record is from RNAcentral. Lineage: Bacteria; Pseudomonadati; Pseudomonadota; Betaproteobacteria; Burkholderiales; Comamonadaceae.
GGAAUGACGGGACCGCACAAGCGGUGGAUGAUGUGGUUUAAUUCGAUGCAACGCGAAAACCUUACCCACCUUUGACAUGUACGGAAUCCUUUAGAGAUAGAGGAGUGCUCGAAAGAGAGCCGUAACACAGGUGCUGCAUGGCUGUCGUCAGCUCGUGUCGUGAGAUGUUGGGUUAAGUCCCGCAACGAGUGCAACCCUUGUCAUUAGUUGCUACAUUCAGUUGGGCACUCUAAUGAGACUGCCGGUGACAAACCGGAGGAAGGUGGGGAUGACGUCAAGUCCUCAUGGCCCUUAUAGGUGGGGCUACACACGUCAUACAAUGGAUGGUACAAAGGGUCGCCAACCCGCGAGGGGGAGCCAAUCCCAUAAAGCCAUUCGUAGUCCGGAUCGCAGUCUGCAACUCGACUGCGUGAAGUCGGAAUCGCUAGUAAUCGUGGAUCAGAAUGUCACGGUGAAUACGUUCCCGGGUCUU